This 253-nucleotide ribosomal RNA is filed under the name uncultured microorganism. RNAcentral describes it as "partial 16S ribosomal RNA". It matches the Rfam family "Bacterial small subunit ribosomal RNA", at positions 524 to 776 of the family's 1533-position model. The record is from RNAcentral.
UACGUAGGGUGCGAGCGUUAAUCGGAUUUACUGGGCGUAAAGCGUGCGCAGGCGGCCCGUUAAGACAGGUGUGAAAUCCCUGGGCCCAACCUAGGAAUUGCGCUUGUGACUGGCGGGCUCGAGUACGGUAGAGGGGGGUGGAAUUCCUGGUGUAGCAGUGAAAUGCGUAGAGAUCAGGAGGAACACCGAUGGCGAAGGCAGCCCCCUGGGCCUGUACUGACGCUCAUGCACGAAAGCGUGGGGAGCAAACAGG